Molecule: long non-coding RNA, 1123 nt
Organism: Lynx canadensis (Canada lynx)
Lineage: Eukaryota; Metazoa; Chordata; Mammalia; Carnivora; Felidae
Exons: 2
Source: RefSeq, a predicted model, not a curated record
CUGGCAGGAGAAGUCCUAUGGGAGGUCCCACAAGGCAAGAGAAAGCCGCUUCAAGAAUCAAAUACUGCUAAAAGGUCAAGGAAAAAGACACAAAGUAGACCUUGAACUCCAUAAUGUGCAAGUCCUUGGCAAACGUGGAAGAACUGCUCUGGUGGCAUGUGGUGAAGAUACGAGACUGACUGGAGCAGGCUCAAGACAGAAUGGAAGGAAAGAACAUAAAAACAGGAAGAAUAAACUCUUUCAAGAGUAGUGCUAUAAAGGGAAGCCAAAAACAGGGGACUGGAGGCGGGCACGGGUCAAGGCACUUUUUUGGGUUUUUUCCCCCCAAGACAGGAUAUCCUCUGAUGUAUCCGUAUGCUGUGAAUGAUCUGUCGAGAGGAAAGCUGUUAAUGUAGGAGGACACUUGCAGAAGGAAUCUGCACCCCCACUCCACCUUUUUAUAGCAGCUUUGCACCGCACCUCGUGCCUCCCGCUCCCAAGACUUUCUGAAGUGGGCAGGGGAGACUCCUCUCUUCCCCUGAGCAAACAUGCAUUUCUAGCCGCGGCUCGCCCCACACUGAAAGACAGGAAGGGCCACUACCACCUCCAUCAGCUGAGGAACAAGAAAUACAGGCCUCGCCGUCCGUUACCGAGAUAACCACAAGAGGAAUGAAGAUAAGGGAAACACAUUAUGAGGAAGAAGGAAAGAGGAGGAAGUAGACCAAACCCUUAUCGCCUGUGCUACCUCAAGUUCUGGUCCACGUGCACGUAUUUCUGAUAGGCUUCUGUUAAAGAAAAAACUACCAGAGAAAGGGGAAAGCCUUCAAUGUUUUCCCACUCUACUCACAAUAAAGACCUAGAUCAUCCUUUGGCCAGCUGGCAGGUCUGUUCCAGGCAGCAAGUACUAAAACUUUGCUGACAACUCUGAACACGUGUUCAAGGAGUACAAUCUCUAGCAGACCAAUUCAAAGACACUGCAGCUGGAACAUUUAAAAAAGAUGGUGAUUAAGCGGAGAAACUAGAUAGAAGAACAAGAGGAUGUACGUUUAAGGACACCAGACUCCUGACUGACAGUCAGCUGGCGGGAUGGCUGACUGGUUUCCCGGAACAAGUUUAAAGCCUAUUAAAAUUCAUUCGAAAAUUA